GAUGAACGCUGGCGGCGUGCCUAAUACAUGCAAGUCGAGCGAACAGAUGAGGAGCUUGCUCCUCUGACGUUAGCGGCGGACGGGUGAGUAACACGUGGAUAACCUACCUAUAAGACUGGGAUAACUUCGGGAAACCGGAGCUAAUACCGGAUAAUAUAUUGAACGGCAUGGUUCAAUAGUGAAAGACGGUUUUGCUGUCACUUAUAGAUGGAUCCGCGCCGCAUUAGCUAGUUGGUAAGGUAACGGCUUACCAAGGCAACGAUGCGUAGCCGACCUGAGAGGGUGAUCGGCCACACUGGAACUGAGACACGGUCCAGACUCCUACGGGAGGCAGCAGUAGGGAAUCUUCCGCAAUGGGCGAAAGCCUGACGGAGCAACGCCGCGUGAGUGAUGAAGGUCUUCGGAUCGUAAAACUCUGUUAUUAGGGAAGAACAAAUGUGUAAGUAACUAUGCACGUCUUGACGGUACCUAAUCAGAAAGCCACGGCUAACUACGUG
RNAcentral lists this ribosomal RNA (497 nucleotides) under uncultured bacterium. RNAcentral's name for it is "partial 16S ribosomal RNA". It matches the Rfam family "Bacterial small subunit ribosomal RNA", at positions 28 to 507 of the family's 1533-position model. The record is from RNAcentral.